Styela clava is the source of this 514-nucleotide non-coding RNA. The record is from RefSeq and is a predicted model, not a curated record. NCBI's taxonomy places the organism in Eukaryota, Metazoa, Chordata, Ascidiacea, Stolidobranchia, Styelidae.
CGUCUUUUCAUACUGUAUUUCAAAUCGUUCGAUAUAACAUUAUAUUUGCAUGUCUGCAGCUCGUAUUGUAUUGUAUUUAUAGUGUUUUAUCUUGGUUGUAUAUCUGUCGUUUUGGGACUAUGCUGUUACAUGGAGUUGUUUUGUGAUUUUAGGCUCAGAACCAGACAUGUCAACGCAGUGGGUGCAUGCACAACAAACUACUGGAAAAGCCUGGGAGUAUCCUCUGACGUAUGGACAAUGUCUUGGCGAGUCAAUGAUUGAUGGACAAUCAGCCUAUAAUUCAAAAGCGGUUUAAUUUUGCAUAAUCAACAACAGUGGGAAUGCUACAUAUGACAUACAGGUGCCACAUAGACCACAGAGAAAAGCGUUGCGCCGCUUACAACAUGACAUACGCUUGGGAAAUCAGCUGAUUCAUCUAGAUGUUCGCUGGAAAAUUGAGGAAAUAUUUAUACAUUCUUACAUAUCAAUAUUUUUCGAAGUUGGCUCAUUUUAAUUUGUUUUCUUACCUGGAUAG